UAGCGCCGGAGCCAAUCGGCUGACGAGGCAGGGGGUUAUCGAAAUUUUCGGCGGAUGCCCCUUCGUAUUAUCUUUGAUACGUUAUGAAAAGGCAAAACUAAUCGGAAACGGUUUCGACAAAUUCU
Molecule: non-coding RNA, 125 nt
Filed under: uncultured Eubacterium sp.
Lineage: Bacteria; Bacillati; Bacillota; Clostridia; Eubacteriales; Eubacteriaceae
Description: glmS glucosamine-6-phosphate activated ribozyme
Rfam family: glmS glucosamine-6-phosphate activated ribozyme aptamer
About the family: This entry contains a glucosamine-6-phosphate activated ribozyme that is found in the mRNA for GlmS. GlmS is an enzyme that uses fructose-6-phosphate and glutamine to generate glucosamine-6-phosphate. The ribozyme catalyses self cleavage of the glmS mRNA that is thought to regulate GlmS activity.
Source: RNAcentral